CCUACGGGUGGCAGCAGUAGGGAAUAUUGCACAAUGGGGGAAACCCUGAUGCAGCAACGCCGCGUGAGUGAAGAAGGAAUUCGGUAUGUAAACCUCUAUCAGCAGGGAAGAAAAUGACGGUAUCUGAGUAAUAAGCCCCGGCUAACUACGUGCCAGCAGCCGCGGUAAUACGUAGGGGGCAAGCGUUAUCCGGAUUUACUGGGUGUAAAGGGAGCGUAGGCGGGAGUGCAAGUCUGGUGUGAAAGGCGAGGGCUUAACCCUCGGACUGCUCUGGAAACUGUACGGCUGGAGUGCGGGAGAGGUAAGUGGAAUUCGUAGUGUAGCGGUGAAAUGCGUAGAGAUUAGGAGGAACACCAGUGGCGAAGGCGGCUUACUGGACUGUAACUGACGUUGAGGCUCGAAAGCGUGGGGAGCAAACAGGAUUAGAUACCCGAGUAGUC
RNAcentral lists this ribosomal RNA (440 nucleotides) under uncultured bacterium. Its description in RNAcentral is "partial 16S ribosomal RNA". It matches the Rfam family "Bacterial small subunit ribosomal RNA", at positions 338 to 795 of the family's 1533-position model. The record is from RNAcentral.